RNAcentral lists this long non-coding RNA (227 nucleotides) under Ananas comosus (pineapple). Its description in RNAcentral is "long non-coding RNA (ACOM_LNC008431)". Lineage: Eukaryota; Viridiplantae; Streptophyta; Magnoliopsida; Poales; Bromeliaceae. The record is from RNAcentral.
GUUCAAAUUUAAAUAUCUUGUUAUUUAGAAAUAUAUUUAGGAAUAGGCAGUUAUCUUGUUUGGGAAUAGAUUUAUUAGGUAUGAUUAGGAGUAUUUUAAGGAUUUGGACUCUAUAUAAUAUAACCCGGAGUUACAAGAAAUAAAAAGUAAUAUUGUCUCUUUUCCCUCAUAUUUUGUCUUUUCUUUCUACCUCUUCUCUCUACUUCUCAAUUCUUUAGGAGGUUCGA